UAUCACUAAGCGGAGGAAAAGAAACUAACAAGGAUUCCCCUAGUAACUGCGAGUGAACAGGGAUUAGCCCAGCACCGAAGCCUGUGGUUAUUUGACUGCAAGGCAAUGUGGUGUUUAGGUUUGUUCUUGGCAUUACUGCUCUGCCCCAAGUCCAGCAAUGAGUACGGCAUACCGUUCUGGCCCAUAGAGGGUGAAAGGCCCGUGGGGGUAGAGACCAAGCAUGACAGUUUUGUCCAGAGCUUACCUUGGAGUCGGGUUGUUUGAGAAUGCAGCCCAAAGUGGGUGGUAAACUCCAUCCAAGGCUAAAUACUUGCACGAGUCCGAUAGUAAACAAGUACCGUGAGGGAAAGUUGAAAAGUACUUUGAAGAGAGAGUAAACAGUGCGUGAAACCGCUCAGAGGUAAACGGGUGGAGUUGAACUGCGAUCCUUGGGAAUUCAGCUGAUGAGCAUGAUUUGUGCUUGGGCAUAUUGACCGCCUUUCAGUGUCUGCUUAGCUGCGGGUGCCUGCCUCUGGUGGGUAUGUGUGGUGCGCUUAUCAUGUGCCGCACGCAUUGGAGGGUGUAUGAGUCUGCUUGUCGGUGCACUUUCUCAGGGUGUUCAUCACGACCGGCACUGCUGUCUGUCUGCUUUGGUCAAACUGAUCAGGUCUGAUUAACGUUGGGCUUGGUUGGGUUGGCAGGUGACUCACUGGUCCAUUCUGUGGGCUAUGAGUGUUACUAGCCGGCCUUAGUGGAUCUGUACGGUGUGUCGGAGACGGCGGCUUUGCAUAUGCGCUCUGUCCUUCAGGCGUGGUUGAGUCUGGUCGACUCGUUGCUAGUUUCGGCUGGUCAGUUGAUGGCUUGAUCAUGUUCAGUUGGCAGUGGUGUGUGUGUCUUAGUUUGGGCCAAUAGUCUGUGGUGUUGUGGUAGACUAUCCACCUGACCCGUCUUGAAACACGGACCAAGGAGUUUAACAUGUGCGCGAGUCAUUGGGCUUUACGAAACCCAAAGGCGCAGUGAGGGUAAAGGCUUGGCUUGUCCAGGCUGAGGUGAGAUCCUGUUGUUUUGCUCAUUCAUUCCAAGCUGCGAGCAGCAGGCGCAUCACCGGCCCGUCCCAUGACGUAGACAUGUGGCCUUGUGCUAUGUGCACCGUCGGGGCGGAGCAAGAGCGUACAUGUUGAGACCCGAAAGAUGGUGAACUAUGCUUGCGAAGGUUGGAGCCAGAGGAAACUCUGGUGGAGGACCGUAGCGAUUCUGACGUGCAAAUCGAUCGUAUAACGUGAGUAUAGGGGCGAAAGACUAAUCGAACCAUCUAGUAGCUGGUUCCCUC
This 1309-nucleotide ribosomal RNA is filed under the name Trichobilharzia sp. CMA-2020. RNAcentral's name for it is "partial large subunit ribosomal RNA". It matches the Rfam family "Eukaryotic large subunit ribosomal RNA", at positions 41 to 961 of the family's 3401-position model. Lineage: Eukaryota; Metazoa; Platyhelminthes; Trematoda; Strigeidida; Schistosomatidae. The record is from RNAcentral.